Molecule: ribosomal RNA, 253 nt
Filed under: uncultured bacterium
Lineage: Bacteria
Description: partial 16S ribosomal RNA
Rfam family: Bacterial small subunit ribosomal RNA
Source: RNAcentral
UACGUAGGGUGCGAGCGUUAAUCGGAAUUACUGGGCGUAAAGCGUGCGCAGGCGGAUUGUUAAGCAAGAUGUGAAAUCCCCGGGCUUAACCUGGGAAUGGCAUUCGAAACUGCCUGGCUAGAGUUUGAGAGAGGGAAGUGGAAUUCCACAUGUAGCGGUGAAAUGCGUAGAUAUGUGGAGGAACAUCAGUGGCGAAGGCGGCUUCCUGGCUUAAAACUGACACUGUGGCGCGAAAGCGUGGGUAGCAAACAGG